Molecule: long non-coding RNA, 3541 nt
Filed under: Homo sapiens (human)
Lineage: Eukaryota; Metazoa; Chordata; Mammalia; Primates; Hominidae
Description: lncAB107.3
Source: RNAcentral
GGUAGGCAUUGAGGCAGCCAGCGCAGGGGCUUCUGCUGAGGGGGCAGGCGGAGCUUGAGGAAACCGCAGAUAAGUUUUUUUCUCUUUGAAAGAUAGAGAUUAAUACAACUACUUAAAAAAUAUAGUCAAUAGGUUACUAAGAUAUUGCUUAGCGUUAAGUUUUUAACGUAAUUUUAAUAGCUUAAGAUUUUAAGAGAAAAUAUGAAGACUUAGAAGAGUAGCAUGAGGAAGGAAAAGAUAAAAGGUUUCUAAAACAUGACGGAGGUUGAGAUGAAGCUUCUUCAUGGAGUAAAAAAUGUAUUUAAAAGAAAAUUGAGAGAAAGGACUACAGAGCCCCGAAUUAAUACCAAUAGAAGGGCAAUGCUUUUAGAUUAAAAUGAAGGUGACUUAAACAGCUUAAAGUUUAGUUUAAAAGUUGUAGGUGAUUAAAAUAAUUUGAAGGCGAUCUUUUAAAAAGAGAUUAAACCGAAGGUGAUUAAAAGACCUUGAAAUCCAUGACGCAGGGAGAAUUGCGUCAUUUAAAGCCUAGUUAACGCAUUUACUAAACGCAGACGAAAAUGGAAAGAUUAAUUGGGAGUGGUAGGAUGAAACAAUUUGGAGAAGAUAGAAGUUUGAAGUGGAAAACUGGAAGACAGAAGUACGGGAAGGCGAAGAAAAGAAUAGAGAAGAUAGGGAAAUUAGAAGAUAAAAACAUACUUUUAGAAGAAAAAAGAUAAAUUUAAACCUGAAAAGUAGGAAGCAGAAGAAAAAAGACAAGCUAGGAAACAAAAAGCUAAGGGCAAAAUGUACAAACUUAGAAGAAAAUUGGAAGAUAGAAACAAGAUAGAAAAUGAAAAUAUUGUCAAGAGUUUCAGAUAGAAAAUGAAAAACAAGCUAAGACAAGUAUUGGAGAAGUAUAGAAGAUAGAAAAAUAUAAAGCCAAAAAUUGGAUAAAAUAGCACUGAAAAAAUGAGGAAAUUAUUGGUAACCAAUUUAUUUUAAAAGCCCAUCAAUUUAAUUUCUGGUGGUGCAGAAGUUAGAAGGUAAAGCUUGAGAAGAUGAGGGUGUUUACGUAGACCAGAACCAAUUUAGAAGAAUACUUGAAGCUAGAAGGGGAAGUUGGUUAAAAAUCACAUCAAAAAGCUACUAAAAGGACUGGUGUAAUUUAAAAAAAACUAAGGCAGAAGGCUUUUGGAAGAGUUAGAAGAAUUUGGAAGGCCUUAAAUAUAGUAGCUUAGUUUGAAAAAUGUGAAGGACUUUCGUAACGGAAGUAAUUCAAGAUCAAGAGUAAUUACCAACUUAAUGUUUUUGCAUUGGACUUUGAGUUAAGAUUAUUUUUUAAAUCCUGAGGACUAGCAUUAAUUGACAGCUGACCCAGGUGCUACACAGAAGUGGAUUCAGUGAAUCUAGGAAGACAGCAGCAGACAGGAUUCCAGGAACCAGUGUUUGAUGAAGCUAGGACUGAGGAGCAAGCGAGCAAGCAGCAGUUCGUGGUGAAGAUAGGAAAAGAGUCCAGGAGCCAGUGCGAUUUGGUGAAGGAAGCUAGGAAGAAGGAAGGAGCGCUAACGAUUUGGUGGUGAAGCUAGGAAAAAGGAUUCCAGGAAGGAGCGAGUGCAAUUUGGUGAUGAAGGUAGCAGGCGGCUUGGCUUGGCAACCACACGGAGGAGGCGAGCAGGCGUUGUGCGUAGAGGAUCCUAGACCAGCAUGCCAGUGUGCCAAGGCCACAGGGAAAGCGAGUGGUUGGUAAAAAUCCGUGAGGUCGGCAAUAUGUUGUUUUUCUGGAACUUACUUAUGGUUUCUCUUUUUCAGGCUUAUACUCAUGAAUCUUGUCUGAAGCUUUUGAGGGCAGACUGCCAAGUCCUGGAGAAAUAGUAGAUGGCAAGUUUGUGGGUUUUUUUUUUUUACACGAAUUUGAGGAAAACCAAAUGAAUUUGAUAGCCAAAUUGAGACAAUUUCAGCAAAUCUGUAAGCAGUUUGUAUGUUUAGUUGGGGUAAUGAAGUAUUUCAGUUUUGUGAAUAGAUGACCUGUUUUUACUUCCUCACCCUGAAUUCGUUUUGUAAAUGUAGAGUUUGGAUGUGUAACUGAGGCGGGGGGGAGUUUUCAGUAUUUUUUUUUGUGGGGGUGGGGGCAAAAUAUGUUUUCAGUUCUUUUUCCCUUAGGUCUGUCUAGAAUCCUAAAGGCAAAUGACUCAAGGUGUAACAGAAAACAAGAAAAUCCAAUAUCAGGAUAAUCAGACCACCACAGGUUUACAGUUUAUAGAAACUAGAGCAGUUCUCACGUUGAGGUCUGUGGAAGAGAUGUCCAUUGGAGAAAUGGCUGGUAGUUACUCUUUUUUCCCCCCACCCCCUUAAUCAGACUUUAAAAGUGCUUAACCCCUUAAACUUGUUAUUUUUUACUUGAAGCAUUUUGGGAUGGUCUUAACAGGGAAGAGAGAGGGUGGGGGAGAAAAUGUUUUUUUCUAAGAUUUUCCACAGAUGCUAUAGUACUAUUGACAAACUGGGUUAGAGAAGGAGUGUACCGCUGUGCUGUUGGCACGAACACCUUCAGGGACUGGAGCUGCUUUUAUCCUUGGAAGAGUAUUCCCAGUUGAAGCUGAAAAGUACAGCACAGUGCAGCUUUGGUUCAUAUUCAGUCAUCUCAGGAGAACUUCAGAAGAGCUUGAGUAGGCCAAAUGUUGAAGUUAAGUUUUCCAAUAAUGUGACUUCUUAAAAGUUUUAUUAAAGGGGAGGGGCAAAUAUUGGCAAUUAGUUGGCAGUGGCCUGUUACGGUUGGGAUUGGUGGGGUGGGUUUAGGUAAUUGUUUAGUUUAUGAUUGCAGAUAAACUCAUGCCAGAGAACUUAAAGUCUUAGAAUGGAAAAAGUAAAGAAAUAUCAACUUCCAAGUUGGCAAGUGAUUUAAUAAUAAUUUAAAACUACUAUAGAAACUGCAGAGCAAAGGAAGUGGCUUAAUGAUCCUGAAGGGAUUUCUUCUGAUGGUAGCUUUUGUAUUAUCAAACUUUUUUCAGAUAACAUCUUCUGAGUCAUAACCAGCCUGGCAGUAUGAUGGCCUAGAUGCAGAGAAAACAGCUCCUUGGUAUCUCUUCGUUAUCAGAAGAGUUGCUUCAUUUCAUCUGGGAGCAGAAAACAGCAGGCAGCUGUUAACAGAUAAGUUUAACUUGCAUCUGCAGUAUUGCAUGUUAGGGAUAAGUGCUUAUUUUUAAGAGCUGUGGAGUUCUUAAAUAUCAACCAUGGCACUUUCUCCUGACCCCUUCCCUAGGGGAUUUCAGGAUUGAGAAAUUUUUCCAUCGAGCCUUUUUAAAAUUGUAGGACUUGUUCCUGUGGGCUUCAGUGAUGGGAUAGUACACUUCACUCAGAGGCAUUUGCAUCUUUAAAUAAUUUCUUAAAAGCCUCUAAAGUGAUCAGUGCCUUGAUGCCAACUAAGGAAAUUUGUUUAGCAUUGAAUCUCUGAAGGCUCUAUGAAAGGAAUAGCAUGAUGUGCUGUUAGAAUCAGAUGUUACUGCUAAAAUUUACAUGUUGUGAUGUAAAUUGUGUAGAAAACCAUUAAAUCAUUCAAAAUAAUAAA